GAUGAACGCUGGCGGCGUGCCUAAUACAUGCAAGUCGAGCGAACAGACGAGGAGCUUGCUCCUCUGACGUUAGCGGCGGACGGGUGAGUAACACGUGGAUAACCUACCUAUAAGACUGGGAUAACUUCGGGAAACCGGAGCUAAUACCGGAUAAUAUAUUGAACCGCAUGGUUCAAUAGUGAAAGACGGUUUUGCUGUCACUUAUAGAUGGAUCCGCGCCGCAUUAGCUAGUUGGUAAGGUAACGGCUUACCAAGGCGACGAUGCGUAGCCGACCUGAGAGGGUGAUCGGCCACACUGGAACUGAGGCACGGUCCAGACUCCUACGGGAGGCAGCAGUUGGGAAUCUUCCGCAAUGGGCGAAAGCCUGACGGAGCAACGCCGCGUGAGUGAUGAAGGUCUUCGGAUCGUAAAACUCUGUUAUUAGGGAAGAACAAAUGUGUAAGUAACUAUGCACGUCUUGACGGUACCUAAUCAGAAAGCCACGGCUAACUACGUG
RNAcentral lists this ribosomal RNA (497 nucleotides) under uncultured bacterium. Its description in RNAcentral is "partial 16S ribosomal RNA". It matches the Rfam family "Bacterial small subunit ribosomal RNA", at positions 28 to 507 of the family's 1533-position model. The record is from RNAcentral.